AUUGAACGCUGGCGGCAGGCCUAACACAUGCAAGUCGAACGGUAACAGGAAGCAGCUUGCUGCUUCGCUGACGAGUGGCGGCCGGGUGAGUAAUGUCUGGGAAACUGCCUGAUGGAGGGGGAUAACUACUGGAAACGGUAGCUAAUACCGCAUAACUUCGCAAGACCAAAGAGGGGGACCUUAGGGCCUCUUGCCAUCGGCUGUGCCCAGAUGGGAUUAGCUAGUAGGUGGGGUAACGGCUCACCUAGGCGACGAUCCCUAGCUGGUCUGAGAGGAUGACCAGCCACACUGGAACUGAGACACGGUCCAGACUCCUACGGGAGGCAGCAGUGGGGAAUAUUGCACAAUGGGCGCAAGCCUGAUGCAGCCAUGCCGCGUGUAUGAAGAAGGCCUUCGGGUUGUAAAGUACUUUCAGCGGGGAGGAAGGGAGUAAAGUUAAUACCUUUGCUCAUUGACGUUACCCGCAGAAGAAGCACCGGCUAACUCCGUG
RNAcentral lists this ribosomal RNA (490 nucleotides) under uncultured bacterium. RNAcentral describes it as "partial 16S ribosomal RNA". It matches the Rfam family "Bacterial small subunit ribosomal RNA", at positions 30 to 507 of the family's 1533-position model. The record is from RNAcentral.